GGAACUGCAUCUGAUACUGGCAAGCUUGAGUCUCGUAGAGGGGGGUAGAAUUCCAGGUGUAGCGGUGAAAUGCGUAGAGAUCUGGAGGAAUACCGGUGGCGAAGGCGGCCCCCUGGACGAAGACUGACGCUCAGGUGCGAAAGCGUGGGGAGCAAACAGGAUUAGAUACCCUGGUAGUCCACGCCGUAAACGAUGUCGACUUGGAGGUUGUGCCCUUGAGGCGUGGCUUCCGGAGCUAACGCGUUAAGUCGACCGCCUGGGGAGUACGGCCGCAAGGUUAAAACUCAAAUGAAUUGACGGGGGCCCGCACAAGCGGUGGAGCAUGUGGUUUAAUUCGAUGCAACGCGAAGAACCUUACCUGGUCUUGACAUCCACGGAAGUUUUCAGAGAUGAGAAUGUGCCUUCGGGAAC
This 411-nucleotide ribosomal RNA is filed under the name Escherichia coli. RNAcentral describes it as "bacterial SSU rRNA". It matches the Rfam family "Bacterial small subunit ribosomal RNA", at positions 617 to 1027 of the family's 1533-position model. The record is from RNAcentral. Lineage: Bacteria; Pseudomonadati; Pseudomonadota; Gammaproteobacteria; Enterobacterales; Enterobacteriaceae.